Molecule: unclassified non-coding RNA, 148 nt
Organism: Papio anubis (olive baboon)
Lineage: Eukaryota; Metazoa; Chordata; Mammalia; Primates; Cercopithecidae
Rfam family: Metazoan signal recognition particle RNA
About the family: The signal recognition particle (SRP) is a universally conserved ribonucleoprotein. It is involved in the co-translational targeting of proteins to membranes. The eukaryotic SRP consists of a 300-nucleotide 7S RNA and six proteins: SRPs 72, 68, 54, 19, 14, and 9.
Source: Ensembl
GCCAGGCAUGGUGGCCCAUGCCUGUAAUCCCAGCUACUCAGGAGGCUGAGACAGGAGAAUCACUUGAAUCCAGGAGGUGGAGGUUGCAGUGAGCCAACAUUGUGCCAUUGCACUCCAGCCUGGGUGACAGAGUGAGACUCCGUCUCAC